CCAGCCUGGAAACAGGUCAGGAGCACCCCGCGGGGGACACGCGCGCCGCCGCGGCCGCUCCAGAGGGCUGUGCGCACGCGGGGGACCGGCGCCACCGGGGGUGGCGGGGUCCGGAGUGCCCCCUCCCAGGGAAAUCGGCACUGGCGCACGUGGGCAGGUGAUACCGGAAACAAAGAAAGGGCUGAGCCCUCCAAGUUUAAGAGAAAAAGGAAGAAAAGUUGAAUGGAAAGCAGAGCUCCAACCCCUCUGUGUGGAUCUUGCGUGGCUUGCAGUGGGAACAUUUCAUUCCUCAGAUGUUAGGUUUUUUUCCCCUUCCUACCGUUGAAGACGACUAGCAGAAUCAGCGAAAGGUCCUCGUUCGAGAAUUUUGACGUUCGGAUUUGACUGCCAAAGUGAAUUCUGUGCCAAGCCUAACAUGCGUUCUUGUGGUGUUCACAAGUAAAAAUUUAAGUUUGCCAGGAAUAAAGAUGUCCCAAAAGAAUGCUUUGUAUUAGACACUCGUUCUUCAACAAACCUUAAUUUUAUGAACCUCAAAAAAAAUGCAAAAAUUUAACAACUAGGGUGCAAUAUUUUAUCGAUCGGCAUUCUUAAUAGUACCUAUGUUGACAAUUUGAGUAGUGAAACGUCCUUAAAAGUGCUGGUGGCAUUGAAAAUUAGUAUAACCCUUUUGAAAAGCAAUUUUACUGUACGUAUUAAAAGCCAUAAAAAACGUCUGCAUCUGUUGACCCAGUAAUCUUACUUCUGGGAAUCUAUUCUAAGGAAAUAACACUAAAUGCCAAAAAAGCUGUAUGUGUGAAGGUAUUCUUCAUAGGAUCACUGUAUUUAUUACAACAAAAACUUGGAAGCAUCCUAAACAUGCUAAUAAUGUUGGGUAUUUAGUAAGUACAUUGUUUUAUAUCCACACAAUGGAGCAUUAUGGUAGUCAUAGACCUCAGAAUAGCUUACCCAUUGCUAGGUGAGGGGGAAACUGUUCAUUUAUCAUAUGUGUUUCUAGUUAAAAAAAAAAAAACUGGAUUUUGUUAAAGGUUAAUACAAAAUACACUAAAGAAAUAACAUUCAGGUGAUGAGGAAUGGGGUUGUUUUUUAAUUGUCUCUGUUAUCUAUAACAUGGUCCUAACUAUACAGCUUUUAUAAUUGAAACAUGUAUUGAAAUUAAAACAGGAUUUUAUCCAGUGCCUAAUGGAGGCCAGACACUGUUAGGUUCUGAGGAUGUAAAGGUGAAUAAAGUUGAGCGUCUCCCUCCACAGGUCUCGCAGCCUAGCAGGGGCUAACAAACACAAACAACAGGUCACAAGUCAAGCUGCAGUGGGGACGACACGGAGGUCAUGAAUGUCACCGGAACUUGAAAUAAGCAAGGCUGUCAUAGCAGAAAGCACCUGUGGGGAAGCUUCUUAGACUCGGGCAGAAAUGGCAGUUUUCAAAGUGCAACCUGGAAAUCUGGGGAAGUGAGGGUAUCCUCGGGACUCUUUCUGUGGGUCAACAAGGUCAAAACUGUCUUCCUAACAAUACUACGUCAGUCUCUUACGCAUGUACGGUGGAGUUUUCCAGAAGUCACAUAAUACAUGACGUCAAAACAGACUGAGAGCAGAAGCAGCUAGGAGAAUCUAGUUGUCUC
RNAcentral lists this long non-coding RNA (1615 nucleotides) under Lynx pardinus (Iberian lynx). Lineage: Eukaryota; Metazoa; Chordata; Mammalia; Carnivora; Felidae. The record is from RNAcentral.